GCACAAGCGGUGGAGCAUGUGGUUUAAUCGAAGCAACGCGAAGAACCUUACCAGGUCUUGACAUCCCGAUGCUAUUUCUAGAGAUAGAAAGUUACUUCGGUACAUCGGUGACAGGUGGUGCAUGGUUGUCGUCAGCUCGUGUCGUGAGAUGUUGGGUUAAGUCCCGCAACGAGCGCAACCCUAUUGUUAGUUGCCAUCAUUCAGUUGGGCACUCUAGCGAGACUGCCGGUAAUAAACCGGAGGAAGUGGGGAUGACGUCAAAUCAUCAUGCCCCUUAUGACCUGGGCUACACACGUGCUACAAUGGUUGGUACAACGAGUUGCGAGUCGGUGACGGCGAGCUAAUCUCUUAAAGCCAAUCUCAGUUCGGAUUGUAGGCUGCAACUCGCCUACAUGAAGUCGGAAUCGCUAGUAAUCGCGGAUCAGCACGCCGCGGUGAAUACGUUCCCGGGCCUU
This 455-nucleotide ribosomal RNA is filed under the name uncultured Streptococcus sp. Its description in RNAcentral is "bacterial SSU rRNA". It matches the Rfam family "Bacterial small subunit ribosomal RNA", at positions 923 to 1382 of the family's 1533-position model. The record is from RNAcentral. Lineage: Bacteria; Bacillati; Bacillota; Bacilli; Lactobacillales; Streptococcaceae.